RNAcentral lists this unclassified non-coding RNA (1067 nucleotides) under Zea mays. Its description in RNAcentral is "misc RNA Zm00001eb081150". The record is from RNAcentral. Lineage: Eukaryota; Viridiplantae; Streptophyta; Magnoliopsida; Poales; Poaceae.
CUGUUCCUCGCCGAGAUGGCUCCGCCGCGGUGGCGCGGCUCCCUGACCGCGGGCUACCAGUUCUUCCUCGCGCUCGGGGUGCUGAUCGCCAACCUCGUGAACUACGCGACGGCACACGCCUCCUGGGGGUGGCGCGUCUCGCUGGGCCUGGCGGGCGCGUCGGCCGUCGCCAUCUUCGUGGGCGCGCUCUUCCUCACCGACACCCCCAGCAGCCUCGUGAUGCGGGGGCGCGCCGACGGGGCCCGGGCGGCGCUGCUCCGGGUGCGCGAGUACCGCCCGCACCUGGUGCUCGCCGUGGCCGUGCCCAUGUUCUUCCAGCUCACGGGCGUCAUCGUGCUCGCCUUCUUCGCGCCGCUCGUGUUCCGGACCGUCGGCUUCGGGAGCAGAGCCGCCCUCAUGGGCGCCGUCGUACUCGGCGCCGUCAACCUGGGCUCGCUCGUGCUCUCCACCUUCGUCAUCGACCGGUACGGACGGAAGGUGCUCUUCAUGGCCGGCGGCGUACAGAUGGUCGUCUGCCAGGUCGCGAUUGCUUGGAUCAUGGGGGCGAAGAUCGGCAAGGGCGGCGAGGCGGCAAUGGCGCACCCGUACGCCGUGGCGGUGCUGGUGUUCACCUGCCUGCACACUGCCGGGUUCGGGUGGUCGUGGGGCCCGCUGGGGUGGGUGAUCCCGAGCGAGAUAUUCCCGGUGGACAUCCGGUCGGCAGGGCAGGCCAUGAACGUCUCCAUCGGCCUCUGCCUCACCUUCGUGCAGACGCAGUCGUUCCUCGCCAUGCUCUGCCGCUUCAAGUACGCCACCUUCGCCUACUACGCCGCCUGGGUCGCCGUCAUGACCGUCUUCAUCGCCCUCUUCCUGCCGGAGACCAAGGGCAUCCCGCUCGAGUCCAUGGGCACCAUCUGGGUGAAACACUGGUAUUGGAAGAGGUUCGUCCACGACGGAAAGCAGAGCAACGUGGCACUGACCUAAGGACGAACCGGUGGGAAAUGUGGACCUCACGAGUUUCGUGCAUUCCCCCAUGGCACACCCAGAACAUGGGGCCAGAAAUUGCAGAGGAGCUGGAUCCGAAGCGG